CGAAUGGGCAAGCGUUGUUCGGAAUCACUGGGCGUAAAGCGUACGUAGGCGGUUAUGCAAGUCAGAAGUGAAAUCCCAGGGCUCAACCUUGGAAUUGCUUUUGAAACUGCAUAGCUAGAGUCCCGGAGAGGUUGGCGGAAUUCCGAGUGUAGAGGUGAAAUUCGCAGAUAUUCGGAGGAACACCAGUGGCGUAGGCGGCCAACUGGACGGGAACUGACGCUGAGGUACGAAAGCGUGGGGAGCAAACAGGAUU
Molecule: ribosomal RNA, 253 nt
Filed under: uncultured bacterium
Lineage: Bacteria
Description: partial 16S ribosomal RNA
Rfam family: Bacterial small subunit ribosomal RNA
Source: RNAcentral